AGUACCACGGGACACGUGAAACCCUGUGGGAAGCAGGAGGGACCACCCUCCAAGGCUAAAUACUACCUAGUGACCGAUAGCGUAUAGUACCGUGAGGGAAAGGUGAAAAGAACCCCGGGAGGGGAGUGAAAGAGAACCUGAAACCCUGCACUUACAAGCUGUGGAAGCACAUUUCUGGUGUGACCGCGGACUUUUUGUAGAACGGGCCAACGAGAUACGUUAAGUAGCAAGGUUAAGCACUUAAGGUG
This 248-nucleotide ribosomal RNA is filed under the name Clostridioides difficile. Its description in RNAcentral is "partial 23S ribosomal RNA". It matches the Rfam family "Bacterial large subunit ribosomal RNA", at positions 411 to 660 of the family's 2925-position model. The record is from RNAcentral. Lineage: Bacteria; Bacillati; Bacillota; Clostridia; Peptostreptococcales; Peptostreptococcaceae.